RNAcentral lists this ribosomal RNA (460 nucleotides) under uncultured bacterium. Its description in RNAcentral is "partial 16S ribosomal RNA". It matches the Rfam family "Bacterial small subunit ribosomal RNA", at positions 338 to 795 of the family's 1533-position model. The record is from RNAcentral.
CCUACGGGAGGCAGCAGUGAGGAAUAUUGGUCAAUGGGCGCGAGCCUGAACCAGCCAAGUCGCGUGAGGGAUGACGGUCCUACGGAUUGUAAACCUCUUUUGCCGGGGAGCAAGCGUGCGUUCGUGAACGCGCGUCGUGAGUACCCGGAGAAAAAGCAUCGGCUAACUCCGUGCCAGCAGCCGCGGUAAUUCGGAGGAUGCGAGCGUUAGCCGGUUUUAUUGGGUUAAAAGGGUGCGUAGGCGGGAUGCAAAGUCAGAGGGAAAAAUGCGGGGCUAAACGCCGUCGAGCCGUUGAAACUGGCGUUCUUGAGUGGGCGAGAAGUAUGCGGAAGGCGUGGUGUAGCGGUGAAAGGCAUAGAUAUCACGCAGAACUACGAUUGCGAAGGCAGCAGACCGGCGCCCUACUGACGCUGAGGCACGAAAGCGUGGGUAUCGAACAGGAUUAGAUACCCUUGUAGUC